Non-coding RNA from Camellia sinensis, 356 nucleotides. NCBI's taxonomy places the organism in Eukaryota, Viridiplantae, Streptophyta, Magnoliopsida, Ericales, Theaceae. The record is from RefSeq and is a predicted model, not a curated record.
CUGGUGGGUGCAGCAAAGGCAGAACAAUUUUGCAAGGCUUUUCGAAGCAUUCACAAGAAACUUGUGUAUGAAGAAAUGAGUUUAGAUGCUGCCAGGAGUUUUGUGAGCUCACCUAAAAGUUAUGGAGAAUAGUUUCUUGCCUCCUGAAUUUUCUUGUUAUUCUGUUUCUGGUGGAUGUUUUACUUGGAGAGAGAGAGAGAGAGAGAGAGAGAGAUUGUAGUUCAAAUUGAAGCAGUUCAUGUUGCAAAUUUGAUUUUGAUUUAUGUUAUUUAAAUUUGUGAACAACAUUAUGUAUGUAUUAUGCGACAUUAUGCAGUGGUAUAAUUUUUAUUGUUAUGAAUUUUUAUUUAUGUAUU